CGGACGGGUGAGUAACGCGUGGAGAACCUGCCGUAUACUGGGGGAUAACACUUAGAAAUAGGUGCUAAUACCGCAUAAGCGCACAGCUUCGCAUGAAGCAGUGUGAAAAACUCCGGUGGUAUACGAUGGAUCCGCGUCUGAUUAGCUGGUUGGCGGGGUAAAGGCCCACCAAGGCGACGAUCAGUAGCCGGCCUGAGAGGGUGAACGGCCACAUUGGGACUGAGACACGGCCCAAACUCCUACGGAAGGCAGCAG
RNAcentral lists this ribosomal RNA (255 nucleotides) under uncultured bacterium. RNAcentral's name for it is "partial 16S ribosomal RNA". It matches the Rfam family "Bacterial small subunit ribosomal RNA", at positions 99 to 354 of the family's 1533-position model. The record is from RNAcentral.